This 17509-nucleotide long non-coding RNA is filed under the name Ananas comosus (pineapple). RNAcentral's name for it is "long non-coding RNA (ACOM_LNC032539)". The record is from RNAcentral. Lineage: Eukaryota; Viridiplantae; Streptophyta; Magnoliopsida; Poales; Bromeliaceae.
GUUGGUCUUAUAUUAUAAAAUGUUAAUUUAGAGAGGCGCAUUUUUGUAAGGAUAAGAGCAGAUAUGUGAAAAAUAAGUGUUGAACUUAUAUGAAUUCAGAAUUCUGUACAUUACUAAAUCUUUCUUGUUCACUAUAUAUCAUGAUUUCAAUUUUUAUCUCCUUUUUUAUGUUUUGUUUGGGAGAUGGCUGGUUAAAACUAUUCAUAGUAUCUUCAUUAUGAAAUUCUGAGCUAUCUAUAUAUUUGUUGCUUACUUUAUGUAUUUAAUAACUACAAAGAGAUGUAGCUAUGACAACUGGGGCCUCUCUUAUUAGAUUUCAUGUAGUAUUUCAUACAUAGUAGUUAUCAGGAAUGUAAAUAGCAUAUAUGACGAAUUUUCCAAAGAAGAAACAAGAUUUGGCGCUUAGUUUUAAGUGUUUUUAUUUAGGACAAAAAUGGGUGGAAUAGAUGACAAAUUUUGUCUUACUACUCAUUACACUUCUAUCCUUUAACUAGCUUAUGAUCUCUACAUGACCUCUCUUAUUUCUUUUGAAUGAGGACUAUUAUGGCUUUCUAACUUUUCUUAAACAAUUUAGGCUUUUUGCACUAUUAAUUUGUUAAAUUUUUGUUCCUUGUAUUUGAUUGGGGCAAAAGCUUUCUUAGUUAUAAUUGGGGUUUCCUUACUCCACCUCUUUCUUCCUUCAAGUGCUGCUUCAGUUUCUUCAACUUUAAGACAUAGAGUUCCCUUCCUUCCCUAUCGAAUGGAUCCACUCCCAAGCCCUUGCUUUCACUUGCUUACUUGCUGGAUUCAGUCAGAUAACUUACUUGACGAAUAGAACUUAACUAGCUGGCUGGAAACUCGGCUAGGAACAUUAUGUUUUCCUUCUUUACAUAAUACCUUUCUUUUCUUAUUUCAGGAACCCAACGACUUCCUCGGCUUGUUGGACUCACAAAAGCUCUUGAAAUGAUAUUGGUUAGUGCUUUUCUGUUUCUUCUAAACCUUUCUAUUUGUUGAUCUUCAAAAGUAAACCCUAAUAAACUUGAAUAAUGCUGUACAAAUUAUUAUCACAGUUGUCCAAGCCAAUAAAAGGCAAAGAAGCUUAUGAAUUGGGUCUUGUUGAUGCCUUGGUCUCAUCUAACGAACUGGUGAAGACCGCUCGUCGUUGGGCUCUCGAUAUUGCCGAGUGUAGAAAACCGUGGAUUAAGAGUCUUUACAAAACCGAUAAAUUAGAACCACUUGGUGAGGCUAAGGAGAUUCUCAAGUUUGCAAGAGCUCAAGCUCAAAAACAAGCUGCCAAUUUUCAACAUCCGCUAGUUUGUAUUGAUGUUAUCGAAGAGGGUAUAGUAUCAGGACCGCGUGCAGGACUUUGGAAGGUACAGUCUGCUUAAUAUUUAGUUUAAUUUAGUUUUUGUUGCUUCCAAAGAUUUAGCUUCAGUGACUCGUAAGUUUUACUUGAUUUAUGUUAUGUGAAAUUUUUCAGGAAGCAAAUGCUUUCCAGUCGCUUCUUUUCUCUGACACGUGUAGAUGCUUGGUUCAUGUCUUCUUUGCUCAACGAGCAACAUCAAAGGUAAGCCAUAGGAUAAACUUCCCUAUAUAUCCUUGUAAAGUUAUCUUUUACUUAUACACAAACAUAUAUUAACAUAUAUAUUUGUUUAUAUCAAUGUAUGAAUAAUGAUCAACUUUCGCUAAGUUACACGUCUUUUAAAGUACAUUUUACAUUUACGUGAACUGUGAAGUUGUACCACAGAGACCCUAAAAUAAAAAUAUAAACUGUUUAAUGGGAUGUACAGCAUUUAAAAGACCUAUUUAGAAAAGAAGUCUCGCAAACGUAUCUUAUGCAACAAACUAUGGCCUUUCUUACUUCAAAAUUGUAGACCAUUGGUUUUGGUGCUCUCUAAUACUUAGGAAACAGGUUGCCAUACUUACGGUUCCUAGGCCUAGUUUGGGACUGCAUUCUCCAAAUGCAAUUGCUUUGAGGCUUUAGAGCCACCCGGGAAAGUACUUUGUAGCUCCACUCCUCCAAUCCUAAAAAAUUGUAGUGGGAACCUCUACUUGAGAAGCAUCCAGCAAGAUGUUCCUCUGGUGGCCCUGUUUUCAUUGUGUAGUUUUUGAGGAGCGAAGCUCUUAAGUGUUUUUAGAGCUUUUAGGGGCUUUAAUGUACCAAAGUGUUUGUGAUCUGAACAUGCAAUUGCUAACCAGGUCUUACCAGUUAGGACUUUUAGCACAGAAGCCUGAAUACUAACUAAUGUUAAUGUUGAGCGACUGAAUUACCAUAAAGCUAGUGCUUGAAAUGGUUUUCUGUUCCAAACUUAAAUCAUUAAUGUUUGCUCUAUAGUUAUUUGACUUAUAUUAGCUGUUGCAUAAGUGAGCUUUUCCAUUUUAUAAUUGCAACAGGUUCCUGGGGUUACCGACUUGGGUUUGAUGCCCAGAAAGGUAACCAAAGUUGCUAUUCUUGGGGGAGGACUUAUGGGUUCUGGAAUUGCUACUGCGCUGAUUCUGAGCAAUUAUCCAGUGAUACUGAAAGAAGUAAAUGAAAACUUUCUUAAAGCAGGGAUUGAAAGAGUCAAAGGUAGUCUUGCCAUUUUCUUACUUUACCUAAGAAUAGUUCCUGUACUCUCUCUCUAUGCUCUCUCUCUAUGCAACUUACUCCCUGAAAGCUUCUACUAAACGUGAGCUUUCCUGAUAUUUUUCAAUCCCAUACCUGGCCUUGUUUGCCAAGGAUUUAAGUGCCGACCGGCAUGGGUAGUAUCAAUCGUGGCACGGGCAGUAUCUAUCGUGUUGUAUUGUGUCAACAAGAUAUUAGCACAAUAUAGCCCUCGUGUCGAUGGCACAGUUCAAAACCCUCUAUUCUUUAAAUUAUUAAGUAGUUUUCUCAAUAAAGUUCAAAAGCUUGGAUAAAAAUAAAUAAUAAAUAGUUAGAAUAUUUUGUUGCUAAAGAAAAUAAAUAUUUCAUGCUAUUAUGUGUCGUCACACACGAACUUUUUGUGACCGGCACGUACCGUGCCAGCAAGUUUCCGGGGCGACCCCGUGCCAUGGCAUUUAAAUCCUUGUUGUUUGCCAUACAAAAACUUUUACCUAGUGCCAUUUCAUGUGCUUUUCACAUGAUCCUUUUCUUGUGAAGGGACAAUUUUAAACCUUAUUUGUGAAAUGACUUCCCAAUUUUCGUUUGUUUAAAACUAGGUAAAAAUGGUCAUUUCACAUGGAAAGGGUUGUCACGGUAGCACAAAUUUUAAAGCUGAAGGGGCCAGGCAUGCAACUGCAAAAUAUAGGAAAGCUCUGGGGCUGAAUUUCUGCAAAAAGUGCAGAAGCUGAGUCGUAGUACCUCUGGUGCUGGGGCUAUCCAUAUAUUUUAACCCACCAGUUUUAGUUGCUUUCAAAUGUCAUUAUUUAUUUGUUCACUUGUUUUUUCAGCAAAUUUACAAAGCCGCGUCAAGAAAGGGAAGAUGACUGAGGAGAAAUAUGAGGGGACUCUUUCUCGACUCACAGGUGUUCUUGAUUAUGAUCGUUUCAAAGAAGUGGAGCUAGUCAUUGAGGUAAGUUGGCCCAUGUUAAAUUCUUCCCUUAUUUAGCUUUAUGUAGUUCUCUCUUACCUCCUUUCUGAUCUUGCCAUUUCACUCGCUUGAUCUUCUUAUGUGAUUGAUUUCUUUUUGACCACUGCAUCAUGGCAGGCGGUGAUUGAAAAUGUGUCAUUGAAGCAGCAAAUAUUUGCUGAUUUAGAAAAAUAUUGCUCUCCCCAUUGCAUACUUGCUACAAACACCUCAACAAUAGAUUUGAAUCUAAUUGGAGAAAGAACAAAGUCUCAAGAUAGAAUUGUUGGUGCACAUUUCUUCAGGUAAUAUGAGAUAAGCAUAUGAUUUGUGUGUGUGUGUGUGUUUUAAAGUUUCCUACUGACAGUUAUCUUCUUCAGUCCUGCUCAUAUAAUGCCACUCCUAGAAAUAGUCCGGACUCAGAGGACUUCUCCACAAGUUGUCGUUGACUUACUGGAUAUUGGCAAGAAGAUUCGUAAAACACCAAUAGUAGUCGGGAACUGUACCGGCUUUGCUGUCAAUAGGAUGUUCUUCCCUUAUACUCAGUCAGCGCUCUUGCUCGUCGACCGUGGUCUAGAUGUCUAUGAGAUCGAUCGUGCUUGCACUAAAUUUGGAAUGCCAAUGGGCCCUUUCAGGUACUUAGAUGUCAAAGCUUUUACAUAUAUAUGCCUGCAAAAUUAGCUGUUUAUGUGCACUUAAGUGCAGUUUCUUAAAAAGAUACCAUUACCUGUGAAUCAUCCAAUUCAUCCUUAUGUUGAAUUUGUUAGGAAAAGAUUGGGAAUGUUGUUAGGACGAGGGUAGACAUGUAAGACUUAAUUUUCUGAAAGCAAAGCGUAUCCAAACAUUCAGAUUUUGUAGGAAGAUAUAUGUAAAUAGAUAAGCAUGUAAAUAUGUUUGUAGUAAGUCAUAUUUAAACAACUACCUCUUUUCCCACAGAGUGGCGGAUUUGGUUGGUUUCGGGGUUGCUGUAGCCACGGGUAUGCAGUACCUUGAGAACUUUCCAGAAAGAGUUUAUAAAUCAAUGUUGAUAUCAAUUAUGCUCGAGGACAAACGAGCAGGUACUAACUAAUAAUAUCAUAUUGCAUUCCAUGCUUGUUGGUAUUAUCUCUCUUCUCUCUAAUAGACCAUGUUUUAAUACCGUACUAUGCCACUUAAUGACAGGUGAAGCAACUCGAAAAGGGUUCUAUAAGUACGAUGAAAAGCGUAAGGCAAGUCCGGAUCCUGAAAUAGCAAAGUACAUUGAGAAGUCAAGGAAUAUGCAAGGCACCACCCCAGAUCCUGAGGUACUUUUCCCUCUUUGUUAUUCACUCAUGUACUUUUCCCUCUUUAUUAUUCACUUAUGUACAUGCAUAUAGAAAUACAUUGUGCUACAAUUUUGGAACUAUAGAAUUUUGUCAUAGAAUUUUUUUCUUGUUUAUGACGUUAAUGAGCACCCUUUGUCAUGAUUUAUAGAGUGAAAAGGCUUCUUUUUCCUGAUUUUUCAAUGGGAGCUUAUAAUAAUUCAGUCCUUCCAUUAGUUUGUCUUUCAAAAAUGGUGACUUCUUGGCAUCAUUAUUAGACUUUCUGUUGAUAAAGUUGAAACGAUAGGGAUGAAAGUGAAAUUAGAUCAGAUUUCAAAUAUGUAGUUGACAUAGAAGCAAAGCUGGAGGAAUGCAAGUUAUAAAUUUUGAGAAAUAUAUUAAAAUAGGGUUCAAUUUCACAGGCUAAAUUACUUAAAAAAAACUUUUAGGAUGAAAUUAAAUUUGGAUCAAAUUAAAUUUGGAUCAAAUUGUAGGGGCUAAAGUCAUAAUUUACACUUUAUUGUAAGUGCCCAUUUAUGCAUUUUGAAAUGUCAUCAUUGGUUUCAUGCAGCUAAUGAAGUUAGCAGAUAAAGAUAUAGUAGAGAUGGUGUUCCUUCCUGUUGUCAACGAGGCGUGCCGUGUUCUUGAUGAGGGCAUUGCUGUAAAAGCAUCCGACCUCGACAUUGCUUCGGUUAUGGGCAUGGGAUUCCCCCCUUACAGGUCUUGUUCUUUAAAUUGCAUUACUAUUAAGUGUUUUUUCAGGAAAAAAAGAAGAAGAAAAAACAGUAGGAUUAAAUUGUUCUGGAUUUCGGAACACAACUCCAAUCUGAGAAGCAGCAGUUAGGCAUUUCACAAUAUGCUGUGGCAAAAUGCCGAAAUGAGCUUCAGUAGCUUUAGUUUGAAGCUUCGGCUUUGUAGAAGUGUUGAAACUAUUCGGAGAAUUUUAAUAAAAAGAGUAUUAGUGCCUUUUUAAUAAAUCCACUCAAACAGCAGUUUCGCUCAGCUCCAGUUCUUCACGAUGUUGAUUGUUUUUUUUUAAAAAAAAUAAAACCAGGGGCGGCGUAAUGUUUUGGGCUGACUCUCUUGGAGUGAAAUACAUCUACUCAAAAUUGGAGGAGUGGUCGAAUCGAUACGGUGACUUCUUCAAGCCGUGUUCUUAUUUAGCAGAAAGAGCUGGAAAAGGCAUUCCGCUGGUGAGCUCAAAUAUAUUGAUUUUAUUCUCUGCUUUUGAUUAUUCGCAUUUUAGAAUUAUUCGUUCAAACCAACUUUUAUUUAUCUAUUUUAUUAUUUCCAUUUUCUUCAGAGUGCCCCGGCAAUGCCAAGCCAAACGUCGCGGUUGUAGAUCGGCUUGUUAGUGAUUUUAUCCCUUUCCAUAUCCUAUUAUAAAAAGGAAAGCAAAUAAUAUUAAAAAGAUUGAGAUAGUUAUAAUAGAGUGUUUUUAGGCCUUUAAAUUACAUAUUUAAACAGUUCCAUGAAAGAGGUGCCCCAUAAUUCAUAGUUUAGUGUGGAUAGUUGGCAAUGCAUUGUAACAGUUAUCAGCUUUAGUAAAGAGCUAUACUAAAUUUGUAUCUUCAUGUUGGUAUAAAAAAUGGGAUAAGUUGAGUUAUUGCUUACCACCUCUAAUGUAUCUACACAUUUAUGUAUCAUAGAUUUGCUGACUCUUUUUUCUUAUAUUUCAAUGUUACAAUCCAUGCCUGCGAACUCGGAAUCCGGCGACGUCCAUCCGAACGGAUCAUUGUGUGUUGGGGAUACGGGUUACCACAAAACACCCCAUCCAAACAACUAAUGCAUGAACUCCUGCUCUCUCUGUUAUGGACUUACUUCGUUUGGGCAGGCGGUUUCAAUUUGAAAUCUUAGAACUGCAGCAUGACAACACGAGCAAGCUGGGGUCGGCUUGUUUUAUAAACGAGCCGAACACGUGCUGGUUCGUUAAAGUAUUGAGUCGAAAAAUUCAGCUCGUGUUCGGUCUGUUUAUUAACAAGUCGAACAUGAGCUAGCUCGCGAACAAAAAAUUAACAGGAUUAGAGAGAGUAUAUAAAAAAAUAUAUUUAUAAGUUUUUUUAUCCGUUAGAAUUUAAUUUAAUAGUAAAAAUUUUGUAUAUAAAUUGGUCUUUUUAUAAUUGAGUUAGUCUUUAUAUUUAAGUUGGGCUAAAAAUUAAAUAAUAAAAUAUCUAUAUAUAUAUAAAAUAGCUAGGGCUACUAUGAGUAUAGGUCCUUUUGUACUCAUAAAUUUUUGACCGUUGGAUGAAGAGAUGUGCGGUUGGGUUGAUAGUGGUCUCCGAUUAGAUUAAUAGUUAAGUGAGUGGUUGGUUGAAUAGUAUGAUCUAACGAGUGGAAAUGGUCAAAGGAGUAAAUCUAACGGCCGAAAAUUUAUGAGUACAAAAAAAAUUAUACUCAUAAAAGUAUUGUAGCCGGAUAACAGCUUGAAUACAUAUAUUUUAUAUCUAUCUAAUAUAUAUAUAUAUAUAUAUAUAUAUAUAUAUAUAUAUAUAUAUAUAUAUAUAUAUAUUAGAUAGAUAUAAAAUAUAUGUAUUCAAGCUGUUAUCGAGCCGAACACGAGCUGUUCGAGCGAGCUGAUCCUAUAGAUCAUGUUCGCCUUGUUAUUAAAUGAGCUGAAAAAUUUAUCUCGUAUGCGACUUAUUUACUAAGCGAGCUAUUCGAUCUCGAGCUCAUUUAGAGCUGAAUAUGAGCUGGCUUGUGAACAGUAAAUUGGAUUGCCAACCGGAGCUUGCAGCAGUGGACCCAAACUUUUGCCUUUCACUUUGAUUUCUGAUCUGUUUUUUAGCUUGUUUCUCUUUAAGUACGAUAAUAAUGUCGGGAGACUAGGGAUGCAAACUGAUUCGGAUUGGUGGAGCUCCAAUUCAGGGCAGUAAACGGAAAGAAAUAAACAGAUUCGGGACAGGAAAGAGUAAUUUUUAUGAUCCGAGAUAGAUUCAAGGCAGAAAAAUGGAAAAAUUUUUGACCAGCACCGAAUUCGCCCGCCUCGCUAUGAUCUACCCUGAAUUUGCCCCGAAAACUAUUUAUACUUUAAGAAAAAUCCUAAAAAAUAAUAUAUUUACAAAGAGUCCAAAAUACAAAUAAGUUGGUACUCUAAUUUCUCAUGUAUUUAAAACUUUUAAAUUUUGCUUUGAAUUUUGAUCGAUAUUUUUGAUUUUUAUAAUUGAUGUUGUUAAUUAUAUAUAUAACUUAAUAAUUUUAUUCAUUAUUAUUAAAAAUUAUUAAUUUAUAUUUUGCAAAAUAUUAAUAAUAUUAUAAUUUUUAAAAAAAUAUUAAUUAGAGGGGUGGAUUUGGGACGUUAGCGGAAGAUGGGUUAUGAGGUAAGAUGUAUUAUGAAAUAUAUUUUUUAACCAAUCACGAAUUCUGAGCAGGAGGCAAGACAGGAUUUUGGUGGUAGUAGGGACGAAAGGCGGGGGGAGGCUCCCGGUCUCAGAUCUGUCUGGUUUGCAUCCCUACUGGCGAUCCUUCAAAUAAAAGUUGUUUAGAAAUAAUCCACUCCACUAUAUUUUUGGGAUUGAGAUCCUUUCACCUUCUAAUAUUUUUACUUAAAUUUUACACUUAGCUAGGUUAAAUAUUUUAUCAAGUCAAAUAAUUCUAUUAGUUAUUAACCGUUAGUUAAUCUAGUUUUGUCUUUCUUAAAAUAAUUGAAAUCUUUUAAUUUUCAAAAAAACCAGAAGUUGAUGCAUCUCAAUUAAAAAAGAGAAAAAAAAAUUGAGGCAUUUAUUUCAAAAUAUCUUCUUCCUAUCCUGACUAGGAAUGUCAACGAGUUGGAUUCAAGACAAAUUUUUAAAAAUUCGAAUCUAAACCCGACUGCCAAAUUCUAAACCCGAACCCAAAUCUUACCCCAAAUUUGAUGGAUUUUAAAAAUCCAUAUUCAAAUCUAUACGCGACUAAAAAUUCAAAACACGAAUCCGAAUCUGAAAAUUCGAACCCAAAAUAAUUAUUUCUCUUUACAAUAUUUCAAAAUAUAUUAUAUUAAAUCUAAAUUUUUAAAAUAUAAAUUUAAAAUAUUAUAGGGCCAAUAUUAUACCUAUAAAUUUAGUGGGAUUAUUUGUGAAAAUAAUUUUUUUUGAGGGGGCGAAUGCCAAAAACGCUCUUUUGGCCUCAGUCCUCUUCCUACCCCGACGGCCCCCACAUCUCCUCUCUCUCGACCCCCGACUCCUCGACCAACUUCGAGCUUGCCCUCGCCCCGCCCUCGACCCCCACCACCAAUGGCGGAGCCACAGGGGGCGGCACCGCCGCAAUCGCCGUCGCCGACGCAGUCGCAGCCGACACCGACGACGCCGACGCCGCCGCAGCAGCAGCAGCAGCAGAGGGAGGAGAUGAUGGCGUGCGUGGCGGCGCUGGAGGCGGCGCUCCUCCCCUGCCUCCCCGCCCGCGAGCUCCAAGCCGUCGACCGCUCCGCCCAUUCCUCCCACCAGAGUGAGACCCUCCCCUUUCUCUUCCUUUUAAUCGAUCUAUGUAGCUAUCAAUGAUGCAAAUUUGGUGUAGAUGAGGUGUUUGUUGUUUUUUCGCAAAGAGUAGUGCUGUAUCUAUCUAUGUAGCUAUCAAUGAUGCAAAUUUGGUGUAGAUUAGGUGUUUGUUGCUUUGCAACACAGAGUAGUAUCGAUCUAUAUAGCUAUCAAUGAUGCAAAUCUGGCGUAGAUGAGGUGUUUGUUGUUUUGCCACACAGAGUAGUACCUUCUGAACUGGUCAUGCUUCUUCUUUGUAUCACUUUGUAAUUAAUUUUCGAGGAACAUAUCCCCACGAACUUGUGAAUUUGUGAAUUUGUUCCUCACGUUUUUUUGGUUAUCAUGUAUAAUGAGGAAUGCCGGUUGACUGCUAGUUGUUUACCGUUAGGACCAUCAUGACCUUAAAAAUUAUAUAUUUUCAAGAUUUUGAUUUUUUAAGGGUUUGGGGUUUGUGGUUCACAUGAAGAGAUAUGGUUCCGUUUGGGAUUGUGUGGAUAUCUUGUUAUGUGUGGCCAGAAAGUAUGAUAGGAAAAUAUUAAUUUUUUCUGUAUGUAAUAUCACGUUGUGCAUAUCAAAUGAGUCGAUUACGAUAUAUAUUUUGUGACCCUAUUAGAAAACAGAGAAGUAUAUCCUUUCAUGCUUUUGCCCUUACUCUGUUUUGCCUAAUAGCGUUAGAUGACCCUUAAUAUCAGAUGAACCUGUAGAGAAGUUAGAGGUUGUCAAAUGGAAAAUAAUCGUUAAAAUUAUUGUGAAAGACAUUCUUAUGAGGGUAGCACGGUCUUUUCACAAAAAAAUAAUGGUUUUAAACAGUCAACUGAAUGAGAGGGCAAAUUUUUCGAACUUUUAGAAUUAUAAGGGAUAUAUUUAAUGGCUAAAAACUUUGAGGGACAAGUUUAUAGUCUCCAAACUUUGUAGGGUUAUGUAUAUGUAUGUAAGUUAGGUUAUGCUAAACAAAUUUUCGAUCCCAAAUCCUUCUGAAAAUUGAUACAAGGUUAUUUGAAUUGAUGAUCUAUGCUGUUAGAACUGAUCUACAGUAUUUGAAGAUACAGAAACUAAAAAUCAUGAGUUUUUAAUACUUCUUACUUAUACUUUAGAGACAAAGAUGAACAGUCGAAAUUGAAUAUGCUUCUAAGACAUAGCAUAAGAUUUCUCUACUGAAAAUCAAAGUCCAUGUUCUUUCUCUGGACAUCUAAAAAUAUUUUUUACCAAAUUUCAGAGUCAUUUGAAACAUGUUUUAACCUUUAAGAAAGGAAACAUCUUUUUUUAUUGUUAGAAUUGUGAAAUUUGAGAAAACUUGAUACAUCGCCAAAAAGCAGUGAAAAGUCAUUAAGUUUUAUUUCUAGUAGUUUCUGAUAUUUUGCUUGGACUGCUACAUGGAUGUUGUGAUAGUUUAGUUUAUCUUUGCAUAUGAGGUGCUCACGUGCUUGCAAAUUUUUUUCUCCUAGAUUAUGCUAUGAUAAUUCAAUUUUAGUUGCUUCAUCCGUUGAGAAAGGAUUGGGUCAUGAAUCAUAAAGGGUGUCAUUUAUACAACUGCAUGAAGAAGAUGAAAAUGGCAAAGAAAAUGAGAUCGAACUGAAUAAAUUAAUCUGAUAGAUUGUAAAAGAUAAAGAACCUCUUGUGUUUACACAUUUUGUGAGCACUUCUGUUUUUUGUAACAUUUUGGCAUUUUUUCUUCAUUUACAGUCAUUUAGUCGGUGACAGUUUUUUCUGGACAUUGCAUAUAUUCCUGCAUUAAAUGUUUGAAACUUGUUACUGUUAACUUGAAAUUGAAAGAACUAAUACUACUCAAAAGUAAAGUAAUCUAGUAACCAAUGAGCGAACCAGAUAAGACCUCUAUUUUUAGGUGCAAGAGUUCGUGGGCUUUACUCCUAUAAUGAGAAUUGAGGGAUUUAGUGAUCGCUCUUCACCUACUUGUUCAUUUCAUUUGUAUUGAUUUUCAUUUCAAUCAACUGUAUAUUUCAAGCCUUUGGCUUCUGCACUUUCCUAAAAGAUGCUCUGAUUUAUCACUCUUUGAUAAUUCUAUGAUAACACCCAACCUUGUGCGAUCUCAAUUCUUUACGUAGAUAAUCAUGCAUCAAGGGAUACCAAGGUCAUGAACUGAUUCUCCCCCCUAGUUUUUUUUAGUUCUGUUUUUUUUUAUUGUCCUUCUUAAUUUGAUUUUGUACCAUUGUCCUUGGACCAAGGAUUUAAGUGUCCAACGGCGCAGGCCGUAUCUAUCGUGUCGUAUUGUGCCAACAAGAUAUUGGCACGAUACAGCCCCCGUGCCGAUGGCACAGCUCAAGACCCUCAUUCUUUAAAUUAGUAAGUAAUUUUCUUAAUAAAGUUCAAAAGAUUUGAUAAAAAUAUAUAAUAAACAAUUAGAAUAUUUUGUUGCUAAAGAAAAUAAAUAUUUGAUGAUAUUAUGUGUCGGCACACAUGAAUUUUUUGUGACCGGCAUGCAUGACGCAUUGGCCCGACCCGACACGACACACCGUGUCGUACCAUGUUGGCAAGUUUCCGGCACGACUAUGUGCCACGGCACUUAAUCCUUGCCUUGGACCCAAAGGAAUAUGGCAAAUGAAGUUGUUUAUUUAUGGCAAUUGUGAAGCCUCAUGGAAAAUCUUAGUUCUUGAUAAUUUUAUAGUCUCUGUUAAUAGUCAGCAUUGAAAUUCUGCCUCAUUUUUACCAUUGGAUAAAGGCCUUUUAUCAAUUUUAGUUCUCAAAAGGUCAGUUCAAAAUUGACUUGCAUCUCCUUUGUGAGAAUUAUUCUUAUUUAUUCUUUCGCAAAGUGUACACAUUGGUGACAUCCACCCAAUGUUUAUGCUUUCUGUAGUUUGAAAUAGUUCUUGAAUUCUUUACUCAUCAUUUAUUAUCAUUUGGUCUUCACCAAACCAAAUACAUAUGAACUCUUUACAGCUUCCUGAGACUCGAAAUUUCCUUACUAUAAAUAGUAUCUUUAGUGAGAAGUCGAUAAGCUAAUACUUUGUCUUCUUCCCCCUUAUUAACAGGGUCUCGACCCGUUAAAGAGAUCCUUCACACAUUUUGUGUGAUAUUUGACUUGACAUUCUAUUUUGUCAUUCAUGUGACGUUAGCUGAUGAGCCUUACGAAAUUAGCAUAAAAAAUAUGUACUGCAUGUCUGCCAAAAGAAAAGGUAUAUAUAACAGUGUUGACCUUUCGUUUCAGGCAAGUAUAUUUUUCUGCCAUUUGAUGCUGCUUCGAAGUCCUAGCUGUCUUAAUCAAGCAUCCUUUUUGUUCUUCUCCAUACAUUACUUCUACGUGUAUGUAUGUAUAUACUUUCGUCCUUUUCAUCUCAAAGCAAGUAGCCACCCAUGAUAUUACCUGUCGACUCUAUUUUGAUCAAUUUUCUGUUCAGUGUACUCAAAUUCAAAUUGGGCUUGAGAGAUUUUGAUCCUCUCUAAUUCAGAAUGUGAUUCUGUGUCUAUCUUUGAGAUAUGAGUUUGAUUCAUUGAGCUGAACAAUUUUGUUAUAGUAAGUCCAAAUUGACUAGCUUGACCAGCCUCCCGUAAUUGGGUAUUCUUGUCCAAGCAGUGGAAUCUGUUAGGCUCGAGUCUUAGGGGUGUUAAAGAUUUAGUUCACAAGGCUAGUUUGUAUGGGAGAUUAUUUCCUGAUUGUGUAAUCUUUCUACACUUAAGAAAUGAAAAGGAUACUGCAAGCAAGCUUGGGUUUGGAUCCAUUUCACCUUUAGAGUUCUCUUUAAUAUCUAAAUCUCUUUAUCAACUUAGAUGUUACAACAGCAUCUCCAAAAUCGGUAUUAGACCUUUUUACUCGAUCUUUGCAAAAUUCCCUUUCUCAAAAUAUCUAAUUCCCUGAAUUUCUUCAUCUUUCAUCUGGCGUUUGAAGGAGCUGGUGAUUUUGGUGAUCUUCAAAACUAAAAAUUUGGAAAUGUCGGAGGCAUUGGUGAAUAAAUGAAAAGAAAAAAGCAUAAAAUACUUGCUCCUUCCUAUCAAAUACCUAAGUGUACAGACUUGAAUAAUUGCUUCUUAUAGUAAGUUUGGUAUCUUGAUUUCGCAUUUCCAUGUCAAAUAGUUGACGUCGAGAGACAUGCAAGAGAAUUUAUGGAAGCAGCGAAAAAGCUUCAGCUUUACUUCAUCGGUCUGCAACGCGAGGACCAACCAACCAGGGAAGAAAUGCUCCGAAAGGUUAAUUCUCCAGAGUUUUAAAAAAAAUGGGUACCAUUCUGAGUUGGAUUUCUUAACCUCCUUAUUUUUGAAUUUUAACAAGUCAUAUAUGUGCAGGAGAUUUCGAUCAUGGAGGAAGAGCUGAAGACCAAAUCCGAGCUAAUAAUGAAGCACGAGAAAAUCAUUCAGGGAUGGAGGAAAGAUUUGAAGGAACAACUGGAUAGACAUAUCACAGAAUUGGAGAGGGUGUAAUUUUCUAGUUUAUUUUGUGUUCAAAUAAAAUCCUCGUGACUAUCUUACACAAAUUUCUUUUUGUUGUACCGAAUUUGGAGAAUCAAAUUGCGAAGAGAAUGCAGCUGUUGUUGAAAUAAUGCUAUGUUCAUGGGGACUCAUCUGAAGCCUUCUAAUGAAGCAUUACUUCCUUUACUCUCCUACUUUUCUGGGACAAUUAUUUUGCAUGUUGUAUGCAAGUUGUAGUACGUGAUUAAAACACUAUUGUGCAUAUAAGUGUGGCAAAGUUAAAAGUAGCGCUAGGAUGCUUUUAGAAGUAAAUGAGCUUGUUUACUUCCGCAUUAUUUUCGACGAUUACACAUCUAAAUUGAGGAUCGGCAUCGUUAAAGAUGAUCUAGGCUUAUUUGGACUUUUUAUGUUCCAACUUUUUUGUGAUUUUUGGACACCAUUUGUCUACAAUUCACGUAGUCUCAAAGUUGACACUUUAUUGGGUAAUGUAAGGUGAACUUGAGACAACUUGAGCACUAAGUAAAUUAUAUCAUAAAAUUGUAAAAUUUGAUCACUAGAAUGUUCAAAUAGUCUAGAUUAAGCUUAAAUGUACCGUUCAUCGAUUUGGAUGCACUAUCGUUGAAAAUGGUAUAUCGAUUUGGAUGCACUAUCGUUGAAAAUGGUAUAGAAGGAAAUGCCUCAAUAUACUUAUAGAAGUAUUUUUAGCUUUGAUCAACUUUUAGCCUUGUGCCGAAUCGUAUCUUUUUAGAGUUGUCUCAUUUCAUGUGAGUAUCGACAUGCCAGUGUAAUGUUCUGCUUCAUGUUAAGACAACAAAAAGUUCGACGUUACAUAUAGGGUGUUCUUUUAAUAAAAUAUCUACUUCGCUUUUACUUUUACAUUCAUAGGCCACUUUUUUGGUUUUUGUAUAGUUGGGUAUUAUUUGAUCACUUGUGGAGAAAAUUGUAUUUCCUCUCUUAAAUGUAAAAAAUUGUAGAGAAGUUACACUAUUUGAAUGUAGAGUUAGAAGAGAGUAGAAAACAAGACAAAAAUAAAAGAUAAAAUUAUUUUAUCUUGUUUGAAUUAGAAUAUAAAAAAAUAAAAAUAAGUAUACAUUAAGAAAGAACUCUUAUUUCUAAUUCUUUCUAUGUAAAAUUAUUUCCAACAACUAAAUUAAAAUUUUUAUUUAAUUUUUUUUUAUAAUUUCAUUAUAUUUAACUAUCCUUACGCCGUAUAAUUUGACACUAUCUUCAAAACCCACAUGGCACCCUUCCUCUCCUCCAUUCCACGUGGCGAGAACACAGUUGGCCCCUCUCUCUCCCCCCUCUCCCUCCAGGUGGCUUGAGUGGUGUUGGUGGCGGCAGCGGUGGCUUGGGUGGCGUCGGCGGUCGGCACUGUGGCAACGACAGCUUGGGGGUGGCGUCAACGGCGGACACGGCGCGGCGGUUAGGGUUCCAGAUUAAUUAGGCUCAAUCUCUUCUUAUUAAUUAUCUUUCUUCUUUGGAGGAGGAGAAGGUAGAGUAAACAAAUAUUUCUCAUUCUAACUUUAGUCAUAAUAAUAUGUUUAGGGUAAAAUAUAUCAUCAGCUUUCGUCCUUUUUACUUAAUACUUACGGUUUCUAAAGUUAGAAAUGCACUAUACUUUAGCGUGAAAUAAUAAUGUUUUAAUUAUGCUUGAAGCAAAAGAGUGGCUGAAUUAUUUUGCAGGUAUUAUAGUCGUCUUACUAAACAAAUACUUUUUUUUAUCGUUCAAAUAAGGAGAAUUUAUGUAUACAGUCAAAGAAAGAGAAGCAGGAUUAAUUUAUGUAUAUGUCUGCCACCACGAAUGACGCACCUCGCACGGGGAAUUUUAUUUUGAUUUUCCACCGUGGGGUAGUAUUCAUGAUUCAGAUUAAUAUUUGAAUAUGUAUGGGAAUCAGGUAUUGUGGAUUCAUGGCUUCCAACAGACUCAAGAAUCUGUUGUUAAUUACCCACACUUUCAGUGUUAAGGAACCCUCGAUUAAGAGACCAAAUAUAAAUGCUGAUAAAAGAGACCAAGCAGGCAAAUAAAAUUUUAUUCAUAUGAUUUGCCGUUUACAUAGCUUAAGCAGGGGCAUACCCCCACUGUACAUGAAUUUCAUAAAAUGACACAGCAUUCGGUUGAAGUUUUGAUUUAUUAAAUCCUAAGUAUAUGUAUUAGGAUUUAAUUAGAUUUGAGAUUGACUAGGUCCUAAGUAUAUGUGUUAAGACCUAGUCGAUAUUAGACUCUAUGUAUUAGAGUCUAAUUGGCUCUAAGUAUAUGUUUUAGAGUCCAAUUAUAUUCACCUUGGUUAUAUGUUCCAAGGUGGAGAUGUGACCAAACCUCAAGUAUAUGUAUUGAGGUGGGUCGAAUUACCCGAAAGUAGAGAGUGGCUGAUUCCUGAGUAUAUGUAUCAGGAUUAACCGAGUUUAAUAUGUUUUCACUCUAGUUAUAUGUGCUAGAGUGAAGAUCUGACUAAGCCCUAAGUAUAUAUAUUAGGGGUAGUCGGAUUUGAUUCAUAUGAACUCUAAGUAUAUGUAUUAGAGCUCGAUCGGGUAAGGAUUUCACUCUAGGUAUAUGUGCUAGAGCAAAAGGCUGACUAGACCCUAGGUAUAUGUGCUAGGGCUAGUCGGAUGAACUCUAAGUAUAUAUGUGCUAGGGCUAGUCGCAUGUCCUUUGUAGUUUAGCGACGUUUCGGUCGUUUGAAAUUUGGGUUUAGUUUAGCGACUUUUCAGUCGAUAUCGGAUUUAGAUUUAGUUUAACGACGUUUCGGUCGGUUGAUUUGGUGGAUUAGUUUAACGACGUUUCGGUCGGUUGAUUUGGUGGAUUAGUUUAACGACGUUUCGGUCGGAGGUUUGGUGGAUUAGUUUAACGACGUUUCGGUCGGAGGUUUGGUGGAUUAGUUUAACGACGUUUCGGUCGAAGGUUUGGGUUUGGUUCACAAGGUUUAUGGUAUUGGGUAUAUGGGAUUAUGGUUCAUGAACUUAGAUAUGGUUCAUGGACUUAUGGUUCAUGAACUUAUGGUUCAUGGGUUUAUGGUUCAUGGGUUUGUGGUUCAUGGACUUGGUGUAUGGGUUUAUGAUUCAUGGACUUGGUGUAUGGGUUGUGGUUUAUGAUCCUUGGCUCAUGAACUUGAUUUGAUUCUUGAACUUGAUUCAUAGUUCGUGGAUUUGGUGUAUGGUAUGGUCCAUGGUUUUGGUUCAAAGUUCAUGAACUUGGUUAAGGUUAUGGGCUUGGAUAUGGGUUAAAUGUGUAUGGGUUCAUGGGUAAAUGUAUAUAGGUUUAUGUAUAUGGGUUUAUGGGUUAAUGGUUUUAAUGAGUUUUGGAUAAUGGGUUUAGAUAGAGGGCCCAAAUGGGUUUUGGACCGGGGGCAUUUGUAAAUGGGCUCUGGACUUCAUGAGGAUUUGGACUUGGAUGUAAUAUGAGCUCAUUUUAUGGGCUCAAUUUAGAUUUGGAUCAUGGGCUCAUUUUGGGCUUAAUUGGAUUUGAUAUGGGGAUUUGGAUUUAGGCUCAAAAUGGGCUUAAUUUGGAUUUGGUAUGGAUAAAUAGGUUCAAUUUGGGUUUGAUAUGGGGAUUGGGCUCAAAGCUGGCUCAAUUUGGAUUUGGACUUUAUAUGAAUUUGGGCUUCGUAUGAAAUUGAGAUUGGGCUUUUGGAUUCAUAUGGAUUUUGGGAUUAGGCUUUUGGGUUCAUUUGGGCUUGGUAUAAGAUUUGGAUUUGAUAUAGGAUUUGAAUUUGAUGUUGGGUUGAGAUGUGGAUUUGAUAUGAGAUUUGGAUUUGGGUUGAUAUGGGAUUUGAAUUUGGAUUCAAUAUGGGAUUUAGGCUUUGAUUUAGGAUUUUGGACUUAGGUUUAAUUUAGGCUUUGGGCUUAUUUUGGGUUUUGGGUUUAAUUUAGGAUUUGGACUUGGGUUGAUUAUGGAUUUGGGUUUUGUAUGGUAAUUGGG